Molecule: ribosomal RNA, 119 nt
Organism: Nicotiana attenuata
Lineage: Eukaryota; Viridiplantae; Streptophyta; Magnoliopsida; Solanales; Solanaceae
Source: Rfam
GGAUGCGAUCAUAUCAGCACUAACGCAACGGAUCCCAUAAGAACUCCAAAGUUAAGCGUGCUUGGGCGAGAGUAGUACUAGGAUGGGUGACCCCCUGGGAAGUCCUUGUGUUGAAUCCC